GUGCUUGCUUCGGCAGCACAUAUACUAAAAUUGGAGCGAUACAGAUAAAAUUAGCAUGGCCCCUAUGCAAGGAUUACAUGCAAAUUCGUGAAGCAUUCCAUAUUUAA
This 107-nucleotide small nuclear RNA is filed under the name Echinops telfairi (small Madagascar hedgehog). The record is from RNAcentral. Lineage: Eukaryota; Metazoa; Chordata; Mammalia; Afrosoricida; Tenrecidae.